Molecule: ribosomal RNA, 501 nt
Filed under: uncultured bacterium
Lineage: Bacteria
Description: bacterial SSU rRNA
Rfam family: Bacterial small subunit ribosomal RNA
Source: RNAcentral
UGGCUCAGGACGAACGCUGGCGGUGUGCUUAACACAUGCAAGUCGUGCGACGAACCAGACUUCGGUCUGGGGCAAAGCGGCGAACGGGUGAGUAACACGUGGGUAAUCUGCCCCGAUGACUGGGACAACCCGAGGAAACUCGGGCUAAUACCGGAUGUGGUGCCUGGACUCAAGUCCGGUCACUAAAGGUAGCUUCGGCUUCCGCAUUGGGAGGGGCCCGCGGCCCAUUAGCUUGUUGGUGGGGUCAAGGCCUACCAAGGCAACGAUGGGUAGCUGGUCUGAGAGGACGAUCAGCCACACUGGGACUGAGACACGGCCCAGACUCCUACGGGAGGCAGCAGUGGGGAAUCUUGCGCAAUGCGCGAAAGCGUGACGCAGCAACACCGCGUGAGGGAAGACGGCCUUAGGGUUGUAAACCUCUUUCAGAUGGGACGAAGGUGAUGCGGUGAAUAGCCGAUGUCAUUGACGGUACCGUCAGAAGAAGCUCCGGCUAACUACGUG